Long non-coding RNA from Oncorhynchus nerka (sockeye salmon), 1550 nucleotides. RefSeq lists it as uncharacterized. The transcript has 5 exons. The record is from RefSeq and is a predicted model, not a curated record. Lineage: Eukaryota; Metazoa; Chordata; Actinopteri; Salmoniformes; Salmonidae.
GAGAGAGAGAGAGAGAGGGUUCAGCGGGUUCGUCAGUGCGUUCAGGCAACAUUCAGCUCAGCACGGUCCACUCAGACUCAACACCCACGGAGAACAGACGGCGCGCGAUCUGGCGACUAUUUCUGAACACCAGCGUUCAGCCCAACAUUCAGUUCGGUCUUAGAGAGAUCUAGUUUACAAGUCCCAACAAGGAGUUUACACAAACGGGCCCCUCUGCAAUGACAUAAAUCAAGACGUUGGAAUACAGACAGUGCCCACGCUACAGGCGGACUGGACUGGACAGCACACGGGGUCAGGCCAAUUACAAGGUGGCAACAAUCUGUCAACAACAACGACGACAGGGAGGAAGACGAAGUGGAUCACGUGGAUCUCCCUGAUCGAAGUGUCUCCCGCAUUGGCAGGUUAUAUCACGACAGACGAGGACGUGCUGCGAUGGGCGGGACCCGGGACAGCGUGGCGGGGAGCCGUGUCACGUCAGCCUUCAUGUCGCUCAGCAGCUCCUCCAACUGGUUCAGCACUGACAUUACACCAACACAACGGGACAUGACCCCGAUGCGGGUGAGCACAGGCUGCCGACACAGGCCCUCCCUCGGCACGCCGUCGGCAAACGUCUCGGCACCGUCGGCCACGGGCUCACACAGGUGACGCAUGAACAGGGAGACAUACGCCCUGGAAAAGAGAAAGGGAGGAGAAAGGGAAGAGAUUGAUACAUAAGUGAGGGAGAGAGAGAACAGACGACAGAGAGGGAACAGACCGGCAGCAACGUUGCAGCAACGUUGUAGCAUGAAGAGCUCAGUGUAAGCUCAUACUUUAGCCUGCCUAUGACUCAAACAAUAAGGACGCCAUGCCAUAUCAGUCCCACUCCGCUCACUUGAACUCCUUCUCGCUCUUGCCCCUCAGGUCUCUGACCAGCCACUGGCAGGAGAAGGCGUCCUGUGCGGGCAUGCCCCAACGCAUCACCGCGUUUAGGAAGGCCUUCCUCUGGCGCGUGUUGAAGCCCAAUACCUAGAGGGUAGAGAGGGCAUAAGGACUUCAUAACACAUUCAUAACCAUACACUACCGUUCAGAAGUUUGGGGUCACUUAGAAAUGUUCUUGUUUUUGAAAGAAAAGCACAUUUCUUGUCCAUUAAAACAACAUCAAAUUGAUCAGAAAUACAGUGUAGACAUGGUUAAUGUUGUAAAUGACUAUUGUAGCUGGAAAUGACAGAUUUUUUUAAAUGGAAUAUCUACAUAGGCGUACAGAGGCCCAUUAUCAGCAACCAUCACUCCUGUGUUCCAAUGGCACGUUGUGUUAGCUAAUCCAAGUUGAUCAUUUUAAAAGGCUAAUUGAUCAUUAGAAAACCCUUUUGCAAUUAUGUUAGCAAGCUGAAAACUCUUGUUCUGAUUUAAGAAGCAAUAAAACUGGCCUUCUUUAGACUAGUUGAGUAUCUGGAGCAUCAGCAUUUGUGGGUUCGAUUACAGGAUCCUGAAACAAACAACUUUCUUCUGAAACUCGUCAGUCUAUUGUUCUGAGAAAUGAAGGCUAUUCCAUGCGAGAAAUUGCCAAGAAA